This 468-nucleotide ribosomal RNA is filed under the name uncultured bacterium. RNAcentral's name for it is "partial 16S ribosomal RNA". It matches the Rfam family "Bacterial small subunit ribosomal RNA", at positions 28 to 507 of the family's 1533-position model. The record is from RNAcentral.
GACGAACGCUGGCGGCGUGCUUAACACAUGCAAGUCGAACGGAAAGGCCCUGCUUUUGUGGGGUGCUCGAGUGGCGAACGGGUGAGUAACACGUGAGUAACCUGCCCUUGACUUUGGGAUAACUUCAGGAAACUGGGGCUAAUACCGGAUAGGAGCUCCUGCUGCAUGGUGGGGGUUGGAAAGUUUCGGCGGUUGGGGAUGGACUCGCGGCUUAUCAGCUUGUUGGUGGGGUAGUGGCUUACCAAGGCUUUGACGGGUAGCCGGCCUGAGAGGGUGACCGGGCACAUUGGGACUGAGAUACGGCCCAGACGCGAACGGGAGGCAGCAGGGGGGAAUAUUGCACAAUGGGCGGACGCCUGAUGCAGCAACGCCCCGUGCGGGAUGACGGCCUUCGGGUUGUGAACCGCUUUCGCCUGUGACGAAGCGUGAGUGACGGUAAUGGGUAAAGAAGCACCGGCUAACUACGUG